CGGUGUUACUCUGUCUGAAUGAUAGGUGCACUUUCCUUUAAGCCGGACCACGACCAGCGAGUUGUCUUGUCUGGUAUUGGUGGAAGGUAGCGUUGACCUCGGUGAACGUGUUAUAGCCACUGAUUCGGAGCGAGCGGCGCGUUGGAUUACUCGAUGCCUGCCCUUUGGGCUCGUACGUUGUCUCUUAUCAGGGUGUCGCCGGCUUCACUGCUUCGGCAGGGGAGUUGGAGACGCUUUGGUUCGAGGCGGCCUCUGCGAUUGGCGUCUACAGUCAGUGGUUUCGAAGUAGGCAGUCCACCUGACCCGUCUUGAAACACGGACCAAGGAGUCUAACAUGUGCGCGAGUCAUUGGGCUCUACGAAACCUAAAGGCGCAGUGAAAGUGAAGAUCCAUUUGUUGGAUUGAGGUAGGAUCCUGGGUUACGUGCUCAGGCGCACUACCGGCCCGUCCGAUAUGUCUUCAUACGGGCGGAGCAAGAGCGUACACGUUGGGACCCGAAAGAUGGUGAACUAUGCUUGCGCAGGUCGAAGCCAGAGGAAACUCUGGUGGAGGACCGUAGCGAUUCUGACGUGCAAAUCGAUCGUCAAACGUGAGUAUAGGGGCGAAAGACUAAUCGAACCAUCUAGUAGCUGGUUCCCUCCGAAGUUUCCCUCAGGAUAGCUGGCACUCGGGAAAUGAAACAGUUUUAUCCGGUAAAGCGAAUGAUUAGAGGUAUUGGGACGAAACUGCUCUCAACCUAUUCUC
This 744-nucleotide ribosomal RNA is filed under the name Planocera cf. heda SI-2017. Its description in RNAcentral is "eukaryotic LSU rRNA". It matches the Rfam family "Eukaryotic large subunit ribosomal RNA", at positions 504 to 1059 of the family's 3401-position model. Lineage: Eukaryota; Metazoa; Platyhelminthes; Polycladida; Planoceridae. The record is from RNAcentral.